UACGAAGGGGGCUAGCGUUGUUCGGAAUUACUGGGCGUAAAGCGCGCGUAGGCGGUUUUGCAAGCCAGAGGUGAAAUGCCUGAGCUCAACUUAGGAAUUGCCUUUGGGACUGUGAGACUUCGAGGACUGGAGAGGUGAGUGGAAUUCCCAGUGUAGAGGUGAAAUUCGUAGAUAUUGGGAAGAACACCGGUGGCGAAGGCGGCUCACUGGCCAGUUUCUGACGCUGUAGCGCGAAAGCGUGGGGAUCAAACAGG
RNAcentral lists this ribosomal RNA (254 nucleotides) under uncultured bacterium. RNAcentral's name for it is "partial 16S ribosomal RNA". It matches the Rfam family "Bacterial small subunit ribosomal RNA", at positions 524 to 776 of the family's 1533-position model. The record is from RNAcentral.